GGAUGUGAGGGCGUUCUGGCUGUGACAUCUGUCACCUCAUUGAUCGCCAGGGUUGAUUCGGUUGAUCUGGCUGGCUAGGUGGGUGUCCCUUCCUCCCUCACUGCUCCAUGUGCAUCCCUCCUGAAGCUGCGUGCUUGGUCAAAGAGGACGGCCUUCCCCGAAUAGAGAUGGACCGGUCUUCCGUCGAGGUUAUAAGAGUAGCUGCGCUCCCCUGCUAGAACCUCCAAACAAGCUCUCAAGAUUAGAACUUGGUCUAGGAUGUGAACAACAGAAAAACAAUUGAAGAUUUGUGUGUUUCUUU
Molecule: non-coding RNA, 301 nt
Organism: Erinaceus europaeus (western European hedgehog)
Lineage: Eukaryota; Metazoa; Chordata; Mammalia; Eulipotyphla; Erinaceidae
Source: Rfam